Long non-coding RNA from Syngnathus typhle (broad-nosed pipefish), 912 nucleotides. RefSeq lists it as uncharacterized. The record is from RefSeq and is a predicted model, not a curated record. Lineage: Eukaryota; Metazoa; Chordata; Actinopteri; Syngnathiformes; Syngnathidae. The transcript has 4 exons.
GUUGUUGAUGCUGGACUGUGUGCGUGGACGCUCUUCAUCCAUGCACGCGAUCGUCUUCUUGAGUCCCUGCACGUUGAUUACAGGUGUGGAUCCCCAGCGCUUGUCUAAAGGGUCUCACGGAGAGCGGUUGGUGGGCCGUGCCUCAUCCAUCACACCAUGCGGGGCACACUCGCAGGUUAGUGGGCUUAAUCGGCUUUGACCUGCUGCUUCUUGCGGUUCCACUCCCUCUCCUUGAUGUACUGCUCCUUCCUCUUCUGCUGCUCAUUUCUGUUCCUCUGCCUGCUGCGCUCUUCUCUGGCCUUCUGCAUUGCUUCAAACUUUCCCGUCACGUCAUUCUUGUCUUUGUUCGUGUUGGGCACAUAGCUUCUGGCUACGGGUUUUCUGGUUUGGAGCAGUCUCUGUCAUUUAACAGUGAAAAGAUGAGAAGCUAGUAAGUGAUUGGUUAAUGUAAACGGUGAUAACUUCUCCAGCCGCCUCACCUCUUUUUUGAGCAUAACAUCAGAAAUAUUCUUCUCUUCCGUUGCGUCACAUGGCGCUUCCUCCUCAACAACCUUUGUGGUUUUCUUUCUUCUAUUCUUAUCGACACUAGUUUUCUCCUUCCCCUUGUGUUCCACGCCGUUCACGUGUGUCUCACCAGACUUUUUCUUCUGUGCGUCAGGUGCCUCCUUUGUCUUCUCAUCUGCAUUGCUCACAUGUUCCUUUUUACUUGGGACAUCUUCUGUUUUGACCCCUGCUUCAACCUGCGCCACCUCAGCCAUGUUUAAAUUAAAGUGGCAAGUUGGUUUUAAUUGGAGCUGCAUAACAAAAGGACAAAAAUGGAAGCUGGAGGCCCCAAAGAAAACCAGUGACAACAUACAACCACUGCUGUAACGUCAUAGCCCAGAUUUGAACCAUGAACCUCAGUGAGCUAAA